AUUGAACGCUGGCGGCAGGCCUAACACAUGCAAGUCGAGCGAGCGGCGGACGGGUGAGUAAUGUCUGGGAAACUGCCUGAUGGAGGGGGAUAACUACUGGAAACGGUAGCUAAUACCGCAUACCAUCAGAUGUGCCCAGAUGGGAUUAGCUAGUAGGUGGGGUAACGGCUCACCUAGGCGACGAUCCCUAGCUGGUCUGAGAGGAUGACCAGCCACACUGGAACGUAUCCACGGUCCAGAUUCUUACGUGAGGCAUCAGUGGGGAAUAUUGCACAAUGGGCGCAAGCCGGAUGCAGCCAUGCCGCGUGUGUGAAGAAGGCCUUCGGGUUGUAAAGCACUUUCAGCGGGGAGGCGUUACCCGCAGAAGAAGCACCGGCUAACUCCGUGCCAGCCGCCGCGGUAAUUC
Molecule: ribosomal RNA, 406 nt
Filed under: uncultured bacterium
Lineage: Bacteria
Description: partial 16S ribosomal RNA
Rfam family: Bacterial small subunit ribosomal RNA
Source: RNAcentral